RNAcentral lists this ribosomal RNA (456 nucleotides) under WPS-2 bacterium canine oral taxon 220. Its description in RNAcentral is "bacterial SSU rRNA". It matches the Rfam family "Bacterial small subunit ribosomal RNA", at positions 9 to 457 of the family's 1533-position model. The record is from RNAcentral. Lineage: Bacteria; Bacillati; Vulcanimicrobiota.
GAGUUUGAUCCUGGCUCAGGACUAACGCGGCGGCGUGCCUAACACAUGCAAGUCGAACGGGCGGAGUGAGAGUAGCAAUACUUUUGCCGAGCUAGUGGCGAACGGGUGAGUAACGCGUAAGUAAUGUACCCCUUUGUAUGGAAUACCCACUCGAAAGAGUAGCUAAUACCAUAUAGUCUUUGAUAGAGGCAUCUUUAUCGAAGUAAAGAUUAAUCGCGAAGGGAUCAGCUUGCGUCCUAUUAGCUAGUUGGUAGGGUAAUGGCCUACCAAGGCAUCUAUGGGUAACUGGUCUGAGAGGAUGAACAGUCACACUGGAACUGAGAUACGGUCCAGACUCCUACGGGAGGCAGCAGUGAGGAAUUUUGCGCAAUGGAGGGAACUCUGACGCAGCAACGCCGCGUGAGUGAAGACGGCCUUCGGGUUGUAAAGCUCUGUCAGGAGGGACGAGUAAGGACU